This 1223-nucleotide long non-coding RNA is filed under the name Homo sapiens (human). RNAcentral describes it as "non-protein coding lnc-C17orf62-1:3". Lineage: Eukaryota; Metazoa; Chordata; Mammalia; Primates; Hominidae. The record is from RNAcentral.
AGGCUGGACUGUACUGCCGUGAUCUCGGCUUGCUGCAACCUCCCUGCCUCGGGCUCCCAUGAUUCUCCUGCCUCAGCCUGCCGAGUGCCUGGGAUUGCAGGCAUGCGCCACCACGCCUGACUGGUUUUUGUAUUUUUGGUGGAGAUGGGGUUUCGCUGUGUUGGCCGGGCUGGUCUCCAGCUCCUGACCUUGAGUGAUCUGCCCGCCUCGGCCUCCCGAGGUGCUGGGAUUGCAGACGGAGUCUCUCUCACUCAGUGCUGCCCAGGCUGGAGUGCAGUGGCGUGAUCUCGGCUCGCUACAACCUCCACCUCCCAGCCGCCUGCCUUAGCCUCCCAAAGUGCUAAGAUUACAGCCUCUGCCCAGCCGCCACCCUGUCUAGGAAGUGAGGAGUGUCUCUGCCCGGCCACCCAUCGUCUGGGAUGUGAGGAGCGCCUCUGCCUGGCUGCCCCGUCUGGGAUGUGAGGAGCGCCUCUGCCCGGCCGCCACCCUGUCUGGGAAGUGAGGAGAGCCUCUGCCCGGCCGCCACCCUGUCUAGGAAGUGAGGAGAGCCUCUGCCCGGCUGCCACCCCGUCUUGGAUGUGAGGAGCGCCUCUGCCCGGCCGCCCCGUCUGGGAGGUGAGGGGCGCCUCUGCCCGGCCACCCCAUCUGGGAGCCUUUCUGCAGGUGUACCCAACAGCUCCGAGGAGACAGUGACCAUCGAGAACGGGCCAUGAUGACGAUGGCGGUUUUGUCGAAAAGGAAAGGGGGAAAUGUGGGGAAAAGAAAGAGAGAUCAGACUGUUACUGUGUCUGUGUAGAAAGAAGCAGACCAAGGAGACACCAUUUUGUUCUGUACUAAGAAAAAUUCUUCUGCCUUGGGAUGCUGUUAAUCUAUGACCUUACCCCCAACCCCGUGCUCUCUGAAACCUGUGCUGUGUCAACUCAGGGUUAAAUGGAUUAAGGGCGGUGCAAGAUGUGCUUUGUUAAACAGAUGCUUGAAGGCAGCAUGCUCGUUAAGAGUCAUCACCACUCCCUAAUCUCAAGUACCCAGGGACACAAACACUGUGGAAGUCCGCAGGGACCGCUGCGUAGGAAAACCAGAGACCUUUGUUCAAGUGUUUAUCUGCUGACCUUCUCUCCACUAUUGUCCUAUGACCCUGCCACAUCCCCCUCUCUGAGAAACACCCAGGAAUGAUUGAUAAAUACUAAAAUAAAUAAAUAAAUAAAAUAAAAACUUGAUUUUGA